Long non-coding RNA from Dromaius novaehollandiae (emu), 1349 nucleotides. RefSeq lists it as uncharacterized. Lineage: Eukaryota; Metazoa; Chordata; Aves; Casuariiformes; Dromaiidae. The record is from RefSeq and is a predicted model, not a curated record. The transcript has 4 exons.
GGAAGCAGACCCUUGGAUCUGUGGACACACUGCAGACAUUCUGACUCUCAAGGCUUGCAUCAGCAAAAAUUGUAUUUAAGGCCUAACUUUUGAAAAACAUGGACAUCAUGAUUUCAUCCAGGGAACUCUGCAGGAUGUCUGAUGGGAUGUGUAUAUCCAGUCCACUGAGCCAGAAAAGCUGGGAAAUCUUUGUAACUCAAAGCCUCAGACGGUUUCACCGACAUGCCCAAAACAGAUGAAUAUUAGAAAAUGUGUGGACAAAACAGCACCUGAAACUUCAGCCACAGUUUCCCAGCAACAGACUUGCUGAUACUGAAUGGGUAUGCAACUGAGUGGUAGGAAUCUGGAGAAAGUCACGGCUUUGCUGUGCAUGUCAAGCGGCAAUACACUGUGUGGGUCAAUGCAUUACUACAGGUGCUCAAUUAAGCAUUGGAAAACACUCACUGUGGACAUUAAGUCUUAAGCCGCAAACUGAUCACAUCAAAUCAAAACAAGGUGUUCUCGCAUUACACCACACAACUGCCUAACAUCCACGUAACCUGUGUGGCUACAAGGGCUCUAACAGAACAGAACACAAACACUGGACUAAGGCUUCGAAGGUUUUAGUUUUCUGAAUGCAAAGCAGUUCACCUGUUUCGCAGACUUCAAGAAAAUACCCUGAAUUAUUCUGUAGACUUUGGCCAAUCUUAACGUGAAAUACUUGGAUUUUUAAGAACCACAAGGGAAAAUUGCAUUAUUCAGAUUAUUUGAAAGGACUAUGACUUGUGAUAUUAUUGUGUACUUAUACAAUGCCAAAUCAAUGUAUAACGUAAUGCAAGUAUUAUUAGUGUGAUGGUCAUAUUAUGGUCACAACAGGAGAAACAUAUUGAUUAUUAGCAGUAGAGAUGAUCUGUAAUAUCUAGAAAUCCAGAAUAAUUAGCAGUAGAGAUGAUCUGUAAUAGCUAGAAAACCAGAAUAGGAGUCACUGCCAUUAAGCUAGGCUUUAUACAUAGGCUUUAUACAUAGCCUCAUAUGUUAAGUGAAGAACCAUUACAGAUUGUAAGGGGCCUGGCCCGGAUUGCCUCCCUCCUCCCCUGAGCCGCCUCCAGGGGCUGUCCCACAGCCACUGCCUCCUCCCCACCCCAACCGGCUGUGACCAGCUGCAACCAGCACAGGGCUUUGCCCACAGUGGUGCCCUGCAGCCCCGCUGCCCGAACCUGCUGCUUAUGGCCGGUACCGGCACUGAGGAGAAAAAACAGAUUUUUUUCAAACCUGCUGUGGGAUAUUCAGUGGGAUGGGGGUUCCAGACUGCACUAGGAUUCAUAGAAAUGUUCAGUUCAAAGUGGUUUGACUUGGUGAAAUGAAACCUG